RNAcentral lists this ribosomal RNA (433 nucleotides) under uncultured bacterium. Its description in RNAcentral is "partial 16S ribosomal RNA". It matches the Rfam family "Bacterial small subunit ribosomal RNA", at positions 29 to 507 of the family's 1533-position model. The record is from RNAcentral.
AACGAACGCUGGCGGCAUGCCUAACACAUGCAAGUCGAACGAAACCUUCGGGUCUAGUGGCGCACGGGUGCGUAACGCGUGGGAACCUGCCUUUAGGUUCGGAAUAACUCCCCGAAAGGGGUGCUAAUACCGGAUGAUGUCUUCGGACCAAAGAUUUAUCGCCUUUGGAUGGGCCCGCGUUGGAUUAGCUAGUUGGUAGGGUAAAAGCCUACCAAGGCGACGAUCCAUAGCUGGUCUGAGAGGAUGAUCAGCCACACUGGGACUGAGACACGGCCCAGACUCCUACGGGAGGCAGCAGUGGGGAAUAUUGCACAAUGGGCGAAAGCCUGACGCAGCAAUGCCGCGUGAGUGAUGAAGGUCUUAGGGUUGUAAAGCUCUUUUACCCGGGAUGAUAAUGACGGUACCGGGAGAAGAAGCCCCGGCUAACUUCGUG